GAUGAACGCUGGCGGCGUGCUUAACACAUGCAAGUCGAACGGAAAGGCCAGUGCUUGCCCUGGUUCUCGAGUGGCGCACGGGUGAGUAACACGUGGGUGUUCUGCCCUGUACUUCGGGAUAUGCUUGGGAAACUGGGUCUAUUACCGGAUAGGACAUCUUUUUGGAUAUUGUUCUGGAAAGCUUUUGCGGUGUGGGAUGAGCUCGCGGCGUAUCCGCUUUUUGGUGGGGUAAUGGCCUACCAAGGCGUCGACGGGUAGCCGGCCUACGAGAGUGUACGGCCACAUUGGGACUGUGAGACAGGCCAGAGUCGUGCGGGAGGCAGCAGGGGGGAAUAUUUCACAAUGGGCGCAAGCCUGAGUCAGCGACGCCGCGUGGGGGAUGAAGGCCUUCGGGUUGGAAGCACCUUUCGCUAGGGACGAAGCUUUUUUGUGACGGUACCUGGAGAAGAAGCACCGGCUAACUACGUG
This 468-nucleotide ribosomal RNA is filed under the name uncultured bacterium. RNAcentral describes it as "partial 16S ribosomal RNA". It matches the Rfam family "Bacterial small subunit ribosomal RNA", at positions 28 to 507 of the family's 1533-position model. The record is from RNAcentral.